UACGGAAGGGGCUAGCGUUGUUCGGAAUCACUGGGCGUAAAGCGCGUGUAGGCGGCUUGGUAAGUCGGGUGUGAAAGCCCGGAGCUCAACUCCGGAACUGCAUUCGAAACUACCUCGCUCGAGUCCCGGAGAGGGUGGUGGAAUUCCCGGUGUAGAGGUGAAAUUCGUAGAUAUCGGGAGGAACACCAGUGGCGAAGGCGGCCACCUGGACGGUGACUGACGCUGAGACGCGAAAGCGUGGGGAGCAAACAGG
This 253-nucleotide ribosomal RNA is filed under the name uncultured bacterium. Its description in RNAcentral is "partial 16S ribosomal RNA". It matches the Rfam family "Bacterial small subunit ribosomal RNA", at positions 524 to 776 of the family's 1533-position model. The record is from RNAcentral.